RNAcentral lists this ribosomal RNA (378 nucleotides) under uncultured bacterium. RNAcentral's name for it is "bacterial SSU rRNA". It matches the Rfam family "Bacterial small subunit ribosomal RNA", at positions 423 to 793 of the family's 1533-position model. The record is from RNAcentral.
UUGUAAAGUACUUUCAGCAGUGAGGAAGUGGGUAUGUUAAUAGCAUACUCAUUUGACGUUAGCUGCAGAAGAAGCACCGGCUAACUCCAUGCCAGCAGCCGCGGUAAUACGGAGGGUGCGAGCGUUAAUCGGAAUUACUGGGCGUAAAAGCGCAUGCAGGUGGUUUGUUAAGUCAGAUGUGAAAGCCCGGGGCUCAACCUCGGAAUUGCAUUUGAAAACUGGCAAACUAGAGUACUGUAGAGGGGGUAGAAUUUCAGGUGUAGCGGUGAAAUGCGUAGAGAUCUGAAGGAAUACCGGUGGCGAAGGCGGCCCCCUGGACAGAUACUGACACUCAGAUGCGAAAGCGUGGGGAGCAAACAGGAUUAGAUACCCUGGUAG